UUUAACAUUUCUUCUUCUUAUUCACAUUGAGAAAUCCAGGGUUAAGGGUUGUCCUAGGUCAGGUUCCCUAAAAGACCCAGGAGGAGGAUCCAUGUGCAACUGAAUCAUUAGGACAAUGCGCCCAGUAGAAAGAGGCAGCGG
Molecule: non-coding RNA, 141 nt
Organism: Ceratotherium simum simum (southern white rhinoceros)
Lineage: Eukaryota; Metazoa; Chordata; Mammalia; Perissodactyla; Rhinocerotidae
Source: RefSeq, a predicted model, not a curated record